Molecule: transfer RNA, 84 nt
Filed under: Candidatus Palauibacterales bacterium
Lineage: Bacteria; Pseudomonadati; Gemmatimonadota; Gemmatimonadia; Candidatus Palauibacterales
Description: tRNA-Leu
Rfam family: tRNA
About the family: Transfer RNA (tRNA) molecules are approximately 80 nucleotides in length.
Source: RNAcentral
CGGGGUGGCGAAAUCGGCAGACGCGAGGGACUUAAAAUCCCUUGGGAGUAAUCUCCCGUGCGGGUUCAAAUCCCGCCCCCGGCA